CAGUUCGGAUCGGAGUCUGNAACCCGACUCCGUGAAGCUGGAUUCGCUAGUAAUCGCGCAUCAGCCAUGGCGCGGUGAAUACGUUCCCGGGCCUUGUACACACCGCCCGUCAAGCCAUGGGAGCCGGGGGGUGCUUGAAGUGCGUCGCCGCGAGGCGCGCCCUAGAGCAAAACCGGUGACUGGGGCUAAGUCGUAACAAGGUAUC
This 205-nucleotide ribosomal RNA is filed under the name uncultured bacterium. RNAcentral's name for it is "partial 16S ribosomal RNA". It matches the Rfam family "Bacterial small subunit ribosomal RNA", at positions 1289 to 1500 of the family's 1533-position model. The record is from RNAcentral.